CACUAAGAAGCUAUUAUGGGCCUAGCGUUAGCCUUUUAAGCUAAAGAAUGGUGCCUCCCAAACACCCUUAGUGA
This 74-nucleotide transfer RNA is filed under the name Halichoeres trimaculatus (threespot wrasse). RNAcentral describes it as "tRNA-Lys". Lineage: Eukaryota; Metazoa; Chordata; Actinopteri; Labriformes; Labridae. RNAcentral also lists the same sequence under 1 other name. The record is from RNAcentral.